Molecule: ribosomal RNA, 468 nt
Filed under: uncultured Armatimonadota bacterium
Lineage: Bacteria; Bacillati; Armatimonadota
Description: bacterial SSU rRNA
Rfam family: Bacterial small subunit ribosomal RNA
Source: RNAcentral
AGGUCUGCUAAUACCGCAUGUGGUCCGUUCCCGGCAUCGGGAAGGGUCUAAAGAUUUAUUGCUUCCGGAUGGGCUUGCGGCCUAUCAGGUAGUUGGUGGGGUAACGGCCUACCAAGCCGACGACGGGUAGCUGGUCUGAGAGGACGAUCAGCCGGAUUGGGACUGAGAUACGGCCCAGACUCCUACGGGGGGCAGCAAUUAGGAAUCUUGCGCAAUGGGCGAAAGCUUGACGCAGCGACGCCGCGUGCGGGACGAAGGCAUUCGUGUCGUAAACCGCUUUUGUGGGGGAAGAAGCAUGUGACGGUACCCCACGAAUAAGCCCCGGCUAACUACGUGCCAGCAGCCGCGGUAAUACGUAGGGGGCGAGCGUUGUCCGAAGUUACUGGGCGUAAAGCGCGCGUAGGCGGUUCUCUAAGUCUGAGGUGAAAGGUUCAGCGCUCAACGUGAACAGUGCCUUGGAGACUGGAG